CGGAGGGUGCAAGCGUUAUCCGGAUUCACUGGGUUUAAAGGGUGCGUAGGUGGGUAAGUAAGUCAGUGGUGAAAUCUCCGGGCUUAACCCGGAAACUGCCAUUGAUACUAUUUGUCUUGAAUACUGUGGAGGUCAGCGGAAUAUGUCAUGUAGCGGUGAAAUGCUUAGAUAUGUCAUAGAACACCAAUUGCGAAGGCAGCUGGCUACACAAAUAUUGACACUGAGGCACGAAAGCGUGGGGAUCAAACAGGAUUAGAUACCCUGGUAGUCCACGCCCUAAACUAUGGAUACUCGACAUUUGCGAUAAACUGCAAGUGUCUGAGCGAAAGCAUUAAGUAUCCCACCUGGGAAGUACGAUCGCAAGAUUAG
This 369-nucleotide ribosomal RNA is filed under the name uncultured organism. Its description in RNAcentral is "bacterial SSU rRNA". It matches the Rfam family "Bacterial small subunit ribosomal RNA", at positions 526 to 897 of the family's 1533-position model. The record is from RNAcentral.